RNAcentral lists this ribosomal RNA (247 nucleotides) under uncultured bacterium. RNAcentral describes it as "partial 16S ribosomal RNA". It matches the Rfam family "Bacterial small subunit ribosomal RNA", at positions 1256 to 1500 of the family's 1533-position model. The record is from RNAcentral.
UGCGAAGGCAAGCGGAUCUCUUAAAGCCGUUCUCAGUUCGGACUGUAGGCUGCAACUCGCCUACACGAAGCUGGAAUCGCUAGUAAUCGCGGAUCAGCACGCCGCGGUGAAUACGUUCCCGGGCCUUGUACACACCGCCCGUCACACCAUGAGAGUCUGUAACACCCAAAGCCGGUGGGAUAACCUUUAUAGGAGUCAGCCGUCUAAGGUAGGACAGAUGAUUAGGGUGAAGUCGUAACAAGGUAGC